This 441-nucleotide ribosomal RNA is filed under the name uncultured Prevotellaceae bacterium. RNAcentral's name for it is "bacterial SSU rRNA". It matches the Rfam family "Bacterial small subunit ribosomal RNA", at positions 355 to 794 of the family's 1533-position model. The record is from RNAcentral. Lineage: Bacteria; Pseudomonadati; Bacteroidota; Bacteroidia; Bacteroidales; Prevotellaceae.
UGAGGAAUAUUGGUCAAUGGGCGAAAGCCUGAACCAGCCAAGUAGCGUGCAGGAUGACGGCCCUCUGGGUUGUAAACUGCUUUUAGUCGGGAAUAAAAUGCGGCACGUGUGCCGCUUUGCAUGUACCGUCAGAAAAAGGACCGGCUAAUUCCGUGCCAGCAGCCGCGGUAAUACGGAAGGUCCAGGCGUUAUCCGGAUUUAUUGGGUUUAAAGGGAGCGCAGGCGGACUUUUAAGUCAGCUGUUAAAUUCGGUGGCUCAACCAUCGCAUGCAGUUGAAACUGGAGGUCUUGAGUGUACACAGGGAUGCUGGAAUUCAUGGUGUAGCGGUGAAAUGCUCAGAUAUCAUGAAGAACUCCAAUCGCGAAGGCAGGCAUCCGGGGUGCAACUGACGCUGAGGCUCGAAAGUGCGGGUAUCAAACAGGAUUAGAUACCCUGGUAGU